This 344-nucleotide long non-coding RNA is filed under the name Centruroides sculpturatus (bark scorpion). RNAcentral's name for it is "uncharacterized LOC111613647, transcript variant X1". Lineage: Eukaryota; Metazoa; Arthropoda; Arachnida; Scorpiones; Buthidae. The record is from RNAcentral.
UCCUUUACUGAAAUUAAAUUAUUUUGAUAACCUUAUUUUGGACUUGAAUCGGCGUAUUAAAGUGAGCUCUUACAAUAUUUGAUACAAAAUUAUUGUAGAGAUAUUUGCAUACGUUGCCAAGGUGAUCAGUUAUUGGAUGCGUUUCACGUGAUAGCUAGGUGUACUAGUUUAGUAAAACUUGGUGAAAGUAUUUUUGGUGUCUCUACUAUUUUGUUUGAAAAAUUUUUGGACCUGAUUGUGGUCAUUUGAGUAGAGUGACGUAUAUUCUGAUUUGUUUUGCAUAUUGGAUCAUUAAAUUUUGCCCAGAGGUGGCGUUAGAUUUUCCUUUAAAAGUGUGUUCGUGG